Molecule: ribosomal RNA, 305 nt
Filed under: uncultured bacterium
Lineage: Bacteria
Description: bacterial SSU rRNA
Rfam family: Bacterial small subunit ribosomal RNA
Source: RNAcentral
GCCUACGGGGCGCAGCAGUGGGGAAUAUUGCACAAUGGGGGAAACCCUGAUGCAGCGACGCCGCGUGAGUGAGGAAGUAUUUCGGUAUGUAAAGCUCUAUCAGCAGGGAAGAAAAUGACGGUACCUGACCAAGAAGCCCCGGCUAACUACGUGCCAGCAGCCGCGGUAAUACGUAGGGGGCAAGCGUUAUCCGGAUUUACUGGGUGUAAAGGGGGCGCAGACGGCGAUGCAAGCCAGGAGUGAAAGCCCGGGGCCCAACCCCGGGACUGCUCUUGGAACUGCGUGGCUAGAGUGCAGGAGGGGCG